RNAcentral lists this long non-coding RNA (577 nucleotides) under Citrus sinensis (sweet orange). Its description in RNAcentral is "long non-coding RNA (CSIN_LNC001810)". Lineage: Eukaryota; Viridiplantae; Streptophyta; Magnoliopsida; Sapindales; Rutaceae. The record is from RNAcentral.
AUUUGAAUUACCAAACCCACCCGCAACCCGCAGCGGGUUUUAAUUUUUUUAAAAAAACCCACCCGCAGCGGGUUUUAACAAUUAUCAAACCCGUAAUGGUAUCCGGCGGAUUUUUUGCGGGUUUCCGUAUUUAAAAUCACAAAUGUUUAAUAUAUAAAUUUAUAAUAAUAACCUCAAAUUUCAUAUAACAUACUCAAUUUUAUAUUUAAACAAUGUAAAUGAAAAAUUAAAAUUUCCACAUCAAUUCAACACAAAUUCUCAAAUUUAAGUAUAAAUUAUACAAAUCCAUUUAAAAAACACAAACUAGUAUCUAAAAAUAAUAAUUACAUUUCAUAUUAUCAUUUAAAACAAGCUCCAAGAGAAGAUAUUCAUUUCAUUCACCACCAUAAGCACACAUCCAACACAAUGCCUAUAAUAAUAAUUAAGAUUAAUAUUUUCAAAUACUAAUUCGAAGGGAAAUGCCUUUAAUUUUCUUUAGGUUAUGACUUUAGAAUAGGAGAUGGGUCACAUACACACAUAUACAACUUUGAGUCUUUAGCUAUUUGGUAAUUUGAUUAAUGACAUUAUUUUCUUUAUA